ACUCAGAUUUCUGGUCGACAGAGAGAGGUGUCCCAAAUCUGUCCAGUUUUACCCCCAAAAGAACCCUAAUCCUCCGAUUCAAAGCAUUGACCAAACUCGACCCUUAAUCAGCAGAAGAUCACUGGACUCGGAAUUUAUCCUUCAAACCAUUUGUUCUGCUUUACUUGUUUUGUUUCCAUGGAUUUUGCUGAAGCAUUUCUCGUUUUCUCGACGAUCGGCAGGUCAUGGCUGCAAAUAGGGUCAUAGCAGUUUGUCAAUCGGGUGGCGAAUUUGUGACUGACGAGAAUGGGACGUUGUCGUAUAAAGGCGGGGAUGCUCAUGCCAUAGACGUCGAUGGCCAGACGAAGUUCGACGACUUCAAGACAGAAAUAGCAGAAAUGUUUAAUCCUAGCAUGAAUACUAUGUCUAUAAAGUACUUCCUCCCGGGUAAUAAAAAGACUCUCAUCACUGUCUCGAACGAGAAGGAUUUGAAGCGGA
Molecule: long non-coding RNA, 477 nt
Organism: Hibiscus syriacus
Lineage: Eukaryota; Viridiplantae; Streptophyta; Magnoliopsida; Malvales; Malvaceae
Exons: 2
Source: RefSeq, a predicted model, not a curated record